CAGGUCACCGGGCCGUGGGUGACUCUCUGGUCGGCGCUGAGCUUCAAGAGUGACCAUUCCCCAGACGGUGCACGUCUCACUCUGAAAUUGCUUUUGCUCCCUGCGUCUGUCCUGCGGAGCUCACUCCCAAGACCGGUGUCACAAUGGUCGGAGUCAUUUGCCACCUCCCUGUAAUUAGCGAUCUCCACGGCGUCCCGUGCAACUGCCCUCCCCAGGCCGGAGAACUGCAGGAAAACACGGCCCUUCCCCUUCCACUCGCCGAGGGUCCGGUCACAACGCCAGUCUUCCAGGUGUGGGUUGUCUUGGAGAACGUGUCUUUUUGCCCCAGAGGUCCUGGCCUUGGGCUGGGGUCUAAAUGAGCCUGCUUUGGAGUGAGCUGACAACAGUGCGAUUAUUAUUAAGGCACUGAUGGCCUGCAAUAGGAUUCCUUAAAAAGGAGACUUAAACACCAUUUAGCAGUUACUCAGACUUUAUGUUCACUAAGAAAUGGAGAACAUGGAAGAGAAACUGCCUUCUGCUCAGAUGCAGUAGUUUUGUUUUUUUAAAAAAUAAUCUUUUGUGGAAUAAACUUAACCA
Non-coding RNA from Microcebus murinus (gray mouse lemur), 576 nucleotides. NCBI's taxonomy places the organism in Eukaryota, Metazoa, Chordata, Mammalia, Primates, Cheirogaleidae. The record is from RefSeq and is a predicted model, not a curated record.